This 29-nucleotide non-coding RNA is filed under the name Homo sapiens (human). The record is from RNAcentral. Lineage: Eukaryota; Metazoa; Chordata; Mammalia; Primates; Hominidae.
UCCAGAAAUCAAAGCCUGAUGCAGAAGGA